AUUGAACGCUGGCGGCAGGCCUAACACAUGCAAGUCGAGCGAGAAAGGUCUUCGGACUGAGUACAGCGGCGGACGGGUGAGUAAAGCGUAGGAAUCUACCUGGUAGUGGGGGAUAACUUGGGGAAACUCAAACUAAUACCGCAUACGCCCUACGGGGAAAGCGGGGGACCUUCGGGCCUCGCGCUAUCAGAUGAGCCUGCGUAGGAUUAGCUAGUUGGUGAGGUAAAGGCUCACCAAGGCGACGAUCCUUAGCUGGUCUGAGAGGAUGAUCAGCCACACUGGGACUGAGACACGGCCCAGACUCCUACGGGAGGCAGCAGUGGGGAAUAUUGCGCAAUGGGCGAAAGCCUGACGCAGCCAUGCCGCGUGUGUGAAGAAGGCCUUAGGGUUGUAAAGCACUUUCAAUUGGGAAGAAAAGUUGGUCGUUAAUAGCGGCCAGCCCUGACAUUACCUUUAGAAGAAGGACCGGCUAACUCCGUGCCAGCAGCCGCGGUAAAGU
This 499-nucleotide ribosomal RNA is filed under the name uncultured bacterium. RNAcentral's name for it is "bacterial SSU rRNA". It matches the Rfam family "Bacterial small subunit ribosomal RNA", at positions 30 to 526 of the family's 1533-position model. The record is from RNAcentral.